UCGGACAACGGAGAGCUGGCAAAGGCCGUGGUGCUGACAGGUCGCCCCUUUGAGAGCAAAAUGGCUCUGUCGACCCCUGUGUCUGGAUUGUCUCUUCCAUGGCUGGUGCUGCUGCUUCUCCUGGAAAUCCCUGGGGCCGGGGCCGAGGAGUUCCAGCUGCUGCAGCCCCAGGACCCCGUGUGGGUGUCAGCGGGAGAGACUCUCACUCUGACCUGCUCUGUGACCGGCCACGCUCCACCAGGAGCCGUGAAGUGGUUCAAGGCCUCGGGCGGGGGCCGGCAGCUCGUUUAUGCAGAGAGGGGAUCAUUCCCCCGGGUGACGCGGGCUGUGAGUGUCUCUGACACAGACUUCACCAUCCGCAUCAGCGACACCCGCCCCGCGGACGCCGGGACCUAUCACUGUGUGAAGUUUAAGAAGGGGUUGGGAGCCGAUGAGGAGAUCAGAUCCGGCGCGGGCACGGCCGUGACUGUGAGCGCCAGCCCCUCGGCUCCGUCCGUGUCCGGCCCCCCCAGCAGGGCGGAGCCGGAUACCUCAGUGACUUUCACCUGCACGUCAGGAGGAUUCUCCCCCAGAGAUAUCACUGUGACCUGGCUCAAAAAUGGGACCAAACUCCCAGCCCCCCAGCCCCGGGUUCUCCCCGAACACGAGAGCGUCUCCUACAACAUGUCCAGCACCGUGGGGGUGAGCCUGACCCGAGGAGACGUCCGCUCCCAGCUCACCUGUCAGAUAAAGCACAGCACCUUACCGGCUCCCCUGCGUGGGACCUACAACCUCAGCGAUGCCCUGCGAGUUCCACCCAGGCUGCGAGUGGGCACUGACCCAGCAGCGCCCGUCGCACUGAACGAGUCUGUGACGUUCACCUGCCACGCGGAGGGGUUUUACCCGAAGAAUGCGAGUCUCACCUGGCUGGAGAACGGAAAUGAGACGAAUCUUGGAAAAUCCUCCCCCCUGGCCGAGAAUCCAGAUGGGACGUACACGCUGCAGAGCUCCCUGGAGGUCAAAGCAACUGAGCAGAGGAAUCAGUCCAUGUUCACCUGUCAGGUUGUGCACGAUUCCCAGCCCCCCGCCAGUGCCAGCCAGAUGCUGACAAUCUCCCAGCCACCUCCUGAGCCAAGCAAAGAUGGUCCUUCACCUGAUGGAGGUAAAUGUGCAGCUGAACCCUCCCCUGCACUGCUGGGAAAUGCCAGGUCUGUUCUGCUGAACCCAGGGGUCCUUUCAGCCAAUCUCCGGCAGUGGAGCGCCUCAGUGUAACAGCGACUCUUUUAUUCCAGGAUUAUUGCUCAGCUCUGCUCUCCUGGGGCCCGUGGGCGCCGCGGGAAGGGGAAGGUUGAGGGCAGGAAAUGCCACUUUGGCUGCACUCUGUGGCAAGGGAAGAUGCUCUCUGCAGCCCUGCAGGGUGUGAAUGUCCCUAGGAGAGGGGCUCGAACAUGGUGACUCCCGCAGAGCUGGUGAUCCAAGGACUCCGGCACUGCUCAGAGAUUUGAGGCUUUUAAGUAAAAGUGCAGGUGGUUCCUGAGUCCUUAUUCUCCUUCUCUGCGAAGCUCGAGGUCUCCACUGUAGAGUCUGGGCCAGCCGCGUGUGGAACCAGCUGCCAGGCAGAGCUGGGCAAACUCUGCAGAGGCCAUUUUUCCAAACUGCUGUUCACAGGUAGGAACUCGCCAAGCCCCGUGGAAGGCCAGUUUCCUCAGAGCCUGGUAAAGGUGACCAGAGUCAGGGCGGGAUGGCCGGGAACCAGCAGUUCUCUUGUCUGCUGGGGGUUUCUCUCCAUUGGCUGAUCUGAGGCAUUUCCACUGCAGAUCAGAUCCUGUUCUCCAGCUCCGCUCUCUGGAUCGGGCUCUUCCUGGAGAAGAUGCUGACUGCCGCCUUCCUCCUCUUCCUCUUCCUGAGAAGUAAAGAGUAACCAGCCCCUGGUCUAUUUCCCAGAUUUCUCGCACUGUCGCCACCUGCCAACUUCUCUGUCAUCAGCCUCUGCCCCGCAGCCCAGGAAAGGAGUCCCUAUAUGGUGGAGCUGCAGUGACCCCUGCUGGCCAAUGCGAUUGAGUCCAGGCCCCUGAUGGGACAUACCCACCGCUCACUCAUGCCUACUGAUUGCGAAUCCUGACUGGGCUCCCUGCUCCUUCUCGCCCACUGGUUCUCAAACUUGGGAUCGCGACCCAGUUGUGUGGGGGGUCGCGAGCCCAGACCCUGGCGCGGGGCUGCGAGCCAUGAGCCGCGACCCCUGCGCCAGGCUGCGAGCCCUGACCCCAAGAGCGGCGCGUGGCUGCGAGCUCCGACCCCCACCCCAAUUUGGGGCUGUGAGCCCUGACCCCGAACCUGGCCAGGAGCGGGGCUGCGAGCUUUGAGUCUCGACCCCUGUGCUGGGCUGCAACCACGACACCCGACCCUGACACCGGCGCGGGGCUGUGAGUCCCGACCCCCGUAUGGGGCUGCAGAGCUGCGAGCCCCAACCCCAACCCUGCUAGCCAGGAGGGGACCCCGAAUACAGAUUAUACAAAGGUUAUAUACUUUUUAGCAAAGCAUGUUGCCCUCGUGCAUUGAAAACCUUAGCCAAUAAACAAACCCUUGUCUU
Molecule: RNA transcript, 2569 nt
Organism: Chelonia mydas (Green sea turtle)
Lineage: Eukaryota; Metazoa; Chordata; Testudines; Cheloniidae
Gene name: signal-regulatory protein beta-1
Exons: 5
Source: RefSeq, a predicted model, not a curated record